GAAUUAAAUAGUUAAGUGCAUAUCCUGGAGAUUUUUAACAUAGUUACAUUGUAGAAUAAUUUAUUAUUUUUAAUUAAGUAUAAUGUUA
Molecule: transfer RNA, 88 nt
Filed under: Anotrichium furcellatum
Lineage: Eukaryota; Rhodophyta; Florideophyceae; Ceramiales; Ceramiaceae
Description: tRNA-Asn
Source: RNAcentral